RNAcentral lists this ribosomal RNA (676 nucleotides) under uncultured marine group III euryarchaeote. RNAcentral describes it as "bacterial SSU rRNA". It matches the Rfam family "Archaeal small subunit ribosomal RNA", at positions 321 to 999 of the family's 1478-position model. Lineage: Archaea; Methanobacteriati; Thermoplasmatota; Thermoplasmata; Candidatus Thermoprofundales. The record is from RNAcentral.
CCCUAUGGGGUGCAGCAGGCGCGAAACCUCCUCAAUGCACUAACGUGCGAAGGGGUUACCUCGAGUGCUAUCUGAAGAAGGUGGCUUUUCCUUGGUCUAAAAAGCCUUGGGAAUAAGAGGGGGGCAAGACUGGUGUCAGCCGCCGCGGUAACACCAGCCCCUCGAGUGGUGGGGAUGAUUAUUUGGCCUAAAGCGUCCGUAGCCGGCCGGGUAAGUUUCCCGUUAAAUCCAACGUCUCAAGCGUUGGACUGCGGGAAAUACUGCCUGGCUAGAGAGUGGGAGAGGUUAGCGGUAUUCUGGGGGUAGGGGCGAAAUCCUUUGAUCCCCGGAGGACCACCAGUGGCGAAGGCUGCUGACUAGAACACGUCUGACGGUCAGGGACGAAAGCUGGGGUAGCGAACCGGAUUAGAUACCCGGGUAGUCCCAGCCGUAAACGAUGCAUGCUAGGUGUUGGGUUGGCCACGAGCCACCCCAGUGCCGCAGGGAAGCCGUUAAGCAUGCCGCCUGGGAAGUACGAUCGCAAGGUUGAAACUUAAAGGAAUUGGCGGGGGAGCACCACCAGGCGUGAAGCCUGCGGUUUAAUUGGAGUCAACGCCGGGAACCUUACCGGAAGCGACAGCAGAGUGAAGGCCAGAUUGAAGAUCUUGCCAGACGAGCUGAGAGGAAGUGCAUGGCC